ACGGGGUGCAGCAGGCGCGAAACCCUCGCAAUGCGCGAAAGCGUGACGAGGUUAGCCCGAGUGCCGUCCGCUGAGGAUGGCUUUUACUCGGUGUAAGGAGCCGAGGGAAUAAGGGGAGGGCAAGUCUGGUGUCAGCCGCCGCGGUAAUACCAGCUCCCCGAGUAAUGGGGACGAUUAUUUGGCCUAAAGCGUCCGUAGCCAGUCUAACAAGUCUCUCGUCAAAUCUGACGACCUAAUUGUCAGGGUGCGAGAGAUACUGUUAGACUAGAGGGCGAGAGAGGUCGACGGUAGUCCCGGGGUAGGGGUGAAAUCCUAUAAUCCCGGGAGGACCACCAGUGGCAAAGGCGGUCGACUAGAGCGUGCCUGACGGUGAGGGACGAAAGCUGGGGGAGCGAACCGGAUUAGAUACCCGGGUAGUCCUAGCUGUAAACGAUGCAGGCUAGGUGUUGGGGCGGCUACGAGCCACCCCAGUGCCGCAGGGAAGCCGUUAAGCCUGCCGCCUGGGAAGUACGGUCGCAAGGCUGAAACUUAAAGGAAUUGGCGGGGGAGCAC
RNAcentral lists this ribosomal RNA (552 nucleotides) under uncultured archaeon. RNAcentral describes it as "bacterial SSU rRNA". It matches the Rfam family "Archaeal small subunit ribosomal RNA", at positions 325 to 879 of the family's 1478-position model. The record is from RNAcentral.